This 996-nucleotide long non-coding RNA is filed under the name Olea europaea subsp. europaea. The record is from RNAcentral. Lineage: Eukaryota; Viridiplantae; Streptophyta; Magnoliopsida; Lamiales; Oleaceae.
CAUAGUAUUGACAUUGCUGAUCACGAUAUUUCUCCCUUUCAAAAAGUAUCAUGCGACGUUCUCCUAAUGGCGGAGGUCGGCGUUGUGCUAUUAUAGGAGAAGAGUUGAAGGCUUGACUUGAAUCCUUGCUUUGCUGUGCUUGGAAUCUACGUCCAGUUGAAGUAAUUUUUUGAGCUAGUCCACGAUAUCCUGAGUUGUUUCAUUGAGAAUGUUGCUGUUGUUGACCAUAAAAAGCUACUUGAUGUGUGAGUGUUGAUGCCUGAAUGUCUGUGUUGUUGGAAAGCCAAUUUCGCCUUUGAUCAUAACUUUGGAGUUGAGAAACCAACUCAGAAUAGGAUGGUUAUGGAGGUUUUAACAUGGUUGUUGUGAAUGUUUCAUAUUGCGGACCAAAGUUGGUGAGAAGACAGAAUAUCUUUUCUUGGUCCAGAACCGACUUCCCAAUUGCUGCUAAAUUGUCACAGAGACCUUUAAAGGUUCGGAUGUGCUCUGUGAUUGUUAUGCGGUCUUCUUUUCGAAGGUAGGUAAGCUGUUGGCGCAAAGUGAAUUCACGUUCUUGUGAUUCUUGGGCAUAUGCAUUUUUAAGUGCCUCCCAAACUGCAUGUGCUAUAUCAAGACCAACGACGAGGCCGAGAGCUUCCUCAGAGAGUAUUCCAAUGAUCCACCCUCGAAGAAGACGAUCACACUUUCGCCAUGCUAUGAAAUCAUCUGUUAAUUGAGGAUUUGUAUUGUCUGCAUUUAAGGAGUUGUUUGGGUCUGGUCUGACAUAUUUGUUCGGUGCAGGAUCUUCAUUUGUAAGAUGUCCCACUAAUUCUUGGGUUUCAGCAAGAGCCUUGCUCACGCCACAAGGGGUAGUUAUUUGGAGUGAAUAUUAGAGUGAUGAAGUUGCCAACAUUGAGAGAUAGUGUAGCCAUGGUGAGCUGAAGAAAGAGCUGUAGUUUGUUGCAUAAGGUUCACUACUGCUCUGAUACCAAGAAGAAAAAGGAUAAAAAAGAGGAA